RNAcentral lists this long non-coding RNA (2985 nucleotides) under Homo sapiens (human). RNAcentral describes it as "non-protein coding lnc-HOMER1-8:1". Lineage: Eukaryota; Metazoa; Chordata; Mammalia; Primates; Hominidae. The record is from RNAcentral.
AGCACAAGUUGGGAAAGGGUUAGGACUGCACUAAGAGGGGUGGAGCAGGCAGUCGCCGGAGGGCCACUUCUGGGCCCCUUGCCUGAACUCACGUGCAGCCGUUCUAGCUGUAACAGACGUUUUCUGUGGGUCCUUCGUGUGUUGGCCGAGUGACUUGUCCCCAGAGAAGCCUUUCUUUAACCAGUGUUCCCCUAAUCUUCUCCCCCGGAGCAACAUUAAACUUUAUCUGUUCUUUUGCCCCUCCAGUAACCUGAGAGCUUCUUUGGAAGGAAAAUGCUUUCUUUGGCCGGACGCGGUGGCUCACCCCUGUAAUCCUAGCACUUUGGGAGGCUGAGGCGGGCGGAUCACGAGGUCAGGAGUUCGAGACCAGCCUGGCCAACAUGGUGAAACCCCAUCUUUACUAAAAAUACAAAAAUUAGCCGAGCUUGGUGGCGUGCGCCUGUAACCCCGCUACUCAAGAGGCUGAGGCUGGCGAAUCGCUUGAACCCGGGAGGCGGAGGUUGCAGUGAGCCGAGAUCGUGCCACAGCACUCCAGCCUGGGCGACAGAGCAAGACUUUGUCUCAAAAAAAAAAAAAAAAAAAAAUGCUUUCUUUCUCUCUAAAGCCUGGACUUAGCGCCUUGCCCAUAGUAAUAGCUGGUAUUCACUAAUUCAACAAAUAUUUAUUGAUAUCGCCUCUUGAGUGAGCUUUAAUAAUUUGUAGAAAUGUCUAAAUUGUUUAAUAAUGCAAAUCUGUUAGCUGUAUUCCUUUAUUGUCCACUUAAUGUCUAUAAAAUCUGACCCCUCAGGUUCUGAAAUUGGUAAUUUGUGUGUCAUCUUUUUUUCUGAUCGAUCUGGUGAGGGGCUUCUCGGUUUACGGAUCUCAAAUCUCAAAGCCCGUUUUUGCUUUCUUGGAUUUUCUCUACUGGUUUUCUGUUUUCUAUUUUAUUGAUUUCUGCUCUUAUGUUUAUUGUUUCCUUUACUCUGCUAUUUUUUAAUUUUUAAAUUUCUUGUUUUGUUUCUCUAGUUUCUUAACUCAGAAACUGAUGACCAUUAAUUUUAGAUGUCUCUUGUUUGUACAGGCAUUUGGUGUGAUAAGUGUCCCUCUAUACUGUUUUAGCUACAUUCCACAUAUUUUGAUAUAUUGUAUUUUCAUUUUCCUUCAUUUCAAAAUACUUUGUAAUUUCCCUAUUGCUUUCUUUUUUUGACCAUGGGUUUUUUGUAAGUGUUGGUCUGCAAAUGUGGAGGAGUUUUCCAGGUAGCUGCCUGUUACUGAUUUCUGAUUUAAUCCCAUUGUGAUCAGAGAAGGUACUUCGUACACUAUUAAUAAUUUUAAACUUAUUGACACUUGUUCUGUGGCCCAGAGUAUAUAGUCUGUCUUGGUAAAUACUCACUGUGCAUUUGAAAUGAAUGUGUUUUUUGCAGUUGUUGCAUGGAGUGUUCUAUAAAUGUCAAUCAUGUCAAGUUGGUUGAUAUUAGUGUUCAAAUCUAUAUCCUUUCUGAUUUACUGUCUACUUAUUCUACUAAUUAUUGAGAGUAUUGAAAUUUCUGACUAUUACUGGUUUUUUUCAAUUGUAGUUCUAUCAAUUUCUGCUUCAUGUACUUUGCAGCUCAGCUAUUAGUUGCAUAAACAUAGUUAUUCUCUUAUUUGUAUGAAUUUAUCCUUUAUGAAAGUUUCAUUAUUAUGAAAUUAUCCACUUUACAAAUGACCCUCCUCUUUGCUGAUAAUGUUCUUUGCUCUGAAGUAUAUUUUGUCUGAUAGUAUUACAGCUACUUAGGCUUUCUUUUGUAGGGUGUUAACAUGGUAUAUAUAAGGAAAACAUAAUUCCAAUUCUAGAUAAAGUCCUCCAAAAAUUGAAGAGGAGGGAAUACUUCCCAGCUCAUUCUGUGGGGCCAGCAUUACACUAAUACCCAAACUCUAGAUAUUAAACAAGCAAACUAUGGACCAAUAUCUCUCAUAAACAUAAUAUGCACAAUUCUAGUCACUUUUAUUUCACAGUAUAUAAAAAAGAUAAUACAUUAUAUCCAAACAGGUGCUUAUCCUAGGAAUGCAAGGUUGAAUUAGCAUUGUAUUGACCAUAAAAGAGUAUACUGGUACUUGCUUUACGGAGAAAACUUUAAAGACUGUUUCCUAAGGUGGACCCAAUGGGAAAUUACACAGGUUUACAUGAGACAAGGCAGUAAAAAGUAGAUUAUAUAAAAAAGAUAUAUAAAUAUAUAAAUACAUAAAAAUAUAUAAAAAAGAUAAUACAUUAUAACCAAACAGGGGCUUAUCCUAGGAAUGCAAGGUUGAAUUAGCAUUGGUAAAUCAAGCAAUGUAAUUUACCAUAUUAACAAACUAAAAAAGAAAAACCAUUUGAUAAUCUCAAUACAUGCAGCAAAUGCAUUGGACAAAAUCCAGUAUCCAUUCCUAAGAUUACAAGGAAACUUCCUCAACUUGAUAGAGAGUGUCUAUAAAAAGCAUCACACUUAAUGGUGAAGAACAGUGCUUUCAACUUAAGAUCAGGAACAAGGCAAGGAUUUCUGCUCUGACAACUUAUGUUCAAUAUUGUACUGGGGAUUCUAGCCUGUGCAAUAAGGCAAGGAAAAAAAAAAGGCAUUCAAAUUAGCAAAGAAGGAAGUAAAACUGGUUUUAUUUGUUUUAUUUAUUGAAAACUCUGGCACAAAAUCUACAAAAAACUAUCAGAUCAAAUAAAUGACCAAGACUACAGGUCGUAAAAUCAAUACACAAAUGUCAAUGGCAUUUGUAGUACACCAGCAAUAAACAAUCUGAAAUUGAAAUUUAAAAUACCAUCUACAACAGCAUCAAAAAUUUGAGGCGGGCAUGGUGGCAUGCACCUGUAGUCCCAGCUACUUGAGAGGAUGAGGCAGAGAAUCACUUGAGCCCAGGAGUAUGAUGGCAUUAUGAUAGGUCACUGCAGCCCCAGAAAGAGAAUGGAAAGACAAGCCAAAAACUGAAGCAGCUAUUUGCAAAUCACGUAUCUGAUAAGAAUGUGUGUGUGUGGUU